Molecule: ribosomal RNA, 443 nt
Filed under: uncultured bacterium
Lineage: Bacteria
Description: partial 16S ribosomal RNA
Rfam family: Bacterial small subunit ribosomal RNA
Source: RNAcentral
CCUACGGGAGGCAGCAGUGGGGAAUAUUGGACAAUGGGGGGAACCCUGAUCCAGCGACGCCGCGUGAGUGAAGAAGUAUUUCGGUAUGUAAAGCUCUAUCAGCAGGGAAGAAAGAAGUGACGGUACCUGACUAAGAAGCCCCGGCUAACUACGUGCCAGCAGCCGCGGUAAUACGUAGGGGGCAAGCGUUAUCCGGAUUUACUGGGUGUAAAGGGAGCGUAGACGGCGAUGCAAGUCUGAAGUGAAAGGCGGGGGCUCAACCCCUGGACUGCUUUGGAAACUGUAUGGCUGGAGUGCAGGAGAGGUAAGUGGAAUUCCUAGUGUAGCGGUGAAAUGCGUAGAUAUUAGGAGGAACACCAGUGGCGAAGGCGGCUUACUGGACUGUAACUGACGUUGAGGCUCGAAAGCGUGGGGAGCAAACAGGAUUAGAUACCCUAGUAGUC